RNAcentral lists this transfer RNA (77 nucleotides) under Sphingomonas sp. Its description in RNAcentral is "tRNA-Met". It matches the Rfam family "tRNA". Rfam says of the family: Transfer RNA (tRNA) molecules are approximately 80 nucleotides in length. Their secondary structure includes four short double-helical elements and three loops (D, anti-codon, and T loops). RNAcentral also lists the same sequence under 18 other names. Lineage: Bacteria; Pseudomonadati; Pseudomonadota; Alphaproteobacteria; Sphingomonadales; Sphingomonadaceae. The record is from RNAcentral.
GGCGGAGUAGCUCAGCUGGUUAGAGCGGCGGAAUCAUAAUCCGUAGGUCGGGGGUUCAAGUCCCUCCUCCGCUACCA